UUGUCUUUGAUUAGGUCCUUGUCUAUGUUCCUUGGAACAGGACGUCAUAGAGGGUGAGAAUCCCGUUUGGCGAGGAUACCUUUUCUUUGUAAGACUUUUUCGAAGAGUCGAGUUGUUUGGGAAUGCAGCUCAAAGUGGGUGGUAAAUUCCAUCUAAAGCUAAAUAUUGGCGAGAGACCGAUAGCGAACAAGUACAGUGAUGGAAAGAUGAAAAGAACUUUGAAAAGAGAGUGAAAAAGUACGUGAAAUUGUUGAAAGGGAAGGGCAUUUGAUCAGACAUGGUGUUUUUUGCAUGCACUCGCCUCUCGUGGGCUUGGGCCUCUCAAAAAUUUCACUGGGCCAACAUCAAUUCUGGCAGCAGGAUAAAUCAUUAAGAAUGUAGCUACUUCGGUAGUGUUAUAGCUUUUUGGAAUACUGUUAGCCGGGAUUGAGGACUGCGCUUCGGCAAGGAUGUUGGCAUAAUGGUUAAAUGCCGCCCGU
This 479-nucleotide ribosomal RNA is filed under the name Hanseniaspora uvarum. Its description in RNAcentral is "eukaryotic LSU rRNA". It matches the Rfam family "Eukaryotic large subunit ribosomal RNA", at positions 159 to 652 of the family's 3401-position model. The record is from RNAcentral. Lineage: Eukaryota; Fungi; Ascomycota; Saccharomycetes; Saccharomycodales; Saccharomycodaceae.